RNAcentral lists this ribosomal RNA (301 nucleotides) under uncultured bacterium. RNAcentral's name for it is "partial 16S ribosomal RNA". It matches the Rfam family "Bacterial small subunit ribosomal RNA", at positions 509 to 807 of the family's 1533-position model. The record is from RNAcentral.
CAGCAGCCGCGGGAAUACAGAGGGUGCGAGCGUUAAUCGGAUUUACUGGGCGUAAAGCGUGCGUAGGCGGCCUUUUAAGUCGGAUGUGAAAUCCCUGAGCUUAACUUAGGAAUUGCAUUCGAUACUGGGAAGCUAGAGUAUGGGAGAGGAUGGUAGAAUUCCAGGUGUAGCGGUGAAAUGCGUAGAGAUCUGGAGGAAUACCGAUGGCGAAGGCAGCCAUCUGGCCUAAUACUGACGCUGAGGUACGAAAGCAUGGGGAGCAAACAGGAUUAGAUACCCCGGUAGUCCCUGUCUCUUAUAC